Non-coding RNA from Podarcis lilfordi (Lilford's wall lizard), 75 nucleotides. Lineage: Eukaryota; Metazoa; Chordata; Lepidosauria; Squamata; Lacertidae. The record is from the annotation of a GenBank genome assembly.
UCCAUCGAUAGCUCAGUCAGCAGAGCAUGAGACACUUAAUCUCAGGGCUGUGGGUUCGAGGUCCACAUUGGGCAA